AAUCGUUCAAUGCCUAAAACUGAUGCCACGCCCUCCGUUAAUCACGCACACUGGUUUGAAAAAGAAGCAGACGCCAUUUUUUUUGUCUCGCUUUAGCGAACGACAGCCAACAGUGUCCUGAAAAUGCUACUAAAAGUGAAAUAGAAAGGGUGCCAAAAGAGUCAUAAUUGGCAGUCAGUGCUCCAUUUUUAGAUUCUUCAUUUUCAUCUGCUGCACCUGAUGACUCGGAUGCCACUCAUUUUGGAGGAAAACGAAGGCUUAACAUCAUCCAAGAAAAUGAGGCUCGUAGAUAAAAGCCUGUGGUGCUGAACAUGCCAAACAAGAGAAUUCCACUACUAGAUAUACAGGUCAUGUUGCUCUAGGAAUUGUGACCUUGUUCCCGUACUUGGACCCAUAUUAAAAAAUUGGAUAUGAGCAUUACUAUGAUGCAGAUAGCGGAGCAGGAUAUCUAGCCUGGAGAAUUAAAACAAUUCAGCGCAAUUCUGUGGUUGCAACACAGGAAAGCCAGCACUGAUUAUAAAGAUGGGCCAAGAAUACAGCAAGAAAUACAUCCGAAUGAGGAGCAGCUGACUGGGGAGCAGUGUAGAGAAGCCGUUUCAUUUCUGAAACAUUCCUCCGACACACAAAUGAUACAGCAAUAAAUGAGAGCAACAUUUGAUUACUGUCCAAUUUAGUUCAUGAUCCAGAAAUGUCUUCGAGUCAUAGAGGUGUUCCCACUGUUUCUGGACACACAAGGCCUGAUUGAACAAGAUUUUGUCAUGCUGUUUAGUGAUGAAGCUUCAGUGAGGUUUCUUGAAGUGGCCUACAGUCUUCAAAGAAAAGGUCAUUAGAUUGGAAGGGUUUGACCUUAAACAACCAUUUGGAAGCACUGAUAAGAUCAGCAGAGCAAUGUUGUCUGGAGAAUGCAGGUGAAUUUUGUGAUCCAGGUGUUGGACAGUGAUAUGUCAUCAAUACUGCUGCUGUUGCAUCUCCUUUCUCCAACAUCAAGGAGCCAAAAGAAGUCUGCAAAAAUGAGUGCCAACCAAGCUACUGACUAUCUGGUUGGGACCAGUUUGGAAAACCAUCUUGAACACACUGAGGGCUGUAAUCAACCAUGCUUGCUGGCUUAUGUGAGCGCAUGAAAAAACACCAUCGACAAUGCUGCUUGGUCAUCGGCAAGAAAGCCAUUCCAUGUAAGGCUCAAAGUUUAGUUGCUGCUUUUGACGAACUGUUCAAGGCACACUGUCUUCAGUGUAUCUUUACAAUGAAUCUUUAUCUUGUCUGUACACUUUCACCCAAACUACCAUCUACAACACAGACGUUGGAAAUUCAAAAGAAAACCCGAGUCUGAGAACUUGGAGCAAGAUUCUUAAACACAGAAAAAUCAGAAUAGAGAAAUUUUGAAAAGAUUUUCUGCUUACAAGACCAAAAAUAUUGAUUUGUUUGUAAAUCAUACCACAAAAGUAGCAAUUCCCAUAGCAAACAUAUAAAAUUAAAACAUGGUUUGUUUCCUGGAAAAUGAUUGCAUCUGAAAUGUGGACAGUUAGGAUGUUCUCUUGUUUUUUCACAUUUUUAAUCUAGUGGAUUAAAAAUGGACUGACGGCAAAGAUUUGGGCUUGAAUGCUAUUCAAACUUGGUGCUUGCUACGCAAUGUUCCUCCUAAUGUUUGGAGAUCUUGUUGAACAAAAUGACAAAUAUUGGAACCUACUGCAGCUACUUCUACCUAUUUUUUGUUGAUGUUGUUUUCUCCAGAGUUAUAACCGAUGGUAUGACUUAUUUAAAGCAUUUAAUUUGUCAUCACAACAUGUAAAAGACUUGUUUCCAGAUAAGAACUUACUACCCAAACACCAUAUUGUUAUUCACUAUCCACAGUGCAUUCGGAAGAUAGGACCAUUGCUAAUAGGUAGUGUAUGGGGGUUACAAUCGUAAUCGUAAAUAUUUGACAGAAAAUGGUGAUGCGUUAGUUGGUAAACUUAUAUGGAACGCAUUGAUGGAAAUGUCCAGUGUGAUUUGGACAGUGGGGUCAGCACAGUGAGAGUGCAAUGGCCGAGCCUCGCCCUGGGUGAACUUUUUUCCUUUUUUAAAAUGUUUAUUAUUCUUUGCAAAAUUACAGAAAACAAAACUACAUCAUUAAUUAUUCCAUUCAAAUUAUAUAGCACUCCAUUACAUUUCACAAAAGAAUACAAUCCAAAAUUACAUUACAAAACCUUUUCUUACAAUUGCUUUACUAUCUCUUCCCCCAUAAUUCCCUACAUUUUAACAACUUUAUCUGGUCCAUAGGCCAUUAUAUCUCUAAUUACAUAAUCUUUCAUUAUCGCAACUUUUCUUGCUUUCCACAAAGCAUCAUUAGUACAAUUAAUUAUCAUCCUCAUCUUUUCUUUUUCCUUACCAAUUAUCUUUUGUUAUGUUAACCCAUAAAAUACCCACUUCACAUUUUAUACAAAAUCUGGGGCAAAAUAUUUCAAACAUUCCCCUAUUUUUACCCACACCUUUUGGGCUAAAGGACAUUCCCAUAUUAAAUGUUUAACCGUUUCUUCUUCAAAACAUCUCAAUCUUACACAAUUUGGGAUGCACACCCACCUCGUUUAUAUAAAACUCUUCUCACCGGAAGAUAUUUAUGCACUAUACACCACCCUAAAUCCUUGUGCACAUUCAAUAGAUAAGCUGCAGAUACCUGCUUCCAAAUGAAUUUAACUUAUUUUUCAUAAAACACUUGCAUUGGAAUAAGCUUUACAUUAACUUCCCCAAUCACUUAUUCCAUGUUUUGUCUCGAACACUCCUCUAAUAACAUUUUUUCCUGCAACUUAUUUCUUGUAAAACUAGAUUACAAAAUCAGAAAUAAAAGGUCUCUGUUCUGCAUAUGGAAUAUUUAGACACCUUCUCAAUCCCCAUAGUCUACUUAUUACAUCCCCUAACCAAAAUAUCACAAAAUAAUUCAAUUUCCAGUCUUUUACAACUUUGCACCCCUUUAAAAUAAAGGAAACAAUUGUAAUUCAAAAUUAAUUCCAUAUCCGGUAUAUCUUUCCCACCCAGAUCAACUGGCCUACACAAAUUUUCUCUUUUCACUUUCUCAAUUUUACUCCCCCAUAAAAACCUAAAUAUCAUGUGUUUUAAUUAUUGCAAGCCCAUUUCUCGUUAUUGGCAAAAUUGUACCCAGAGAAUUACGAUUACUGCACUUAAUUAUUUGCUUUAAUAACCAACACUUUGCCCACCAUUGUUAACUCCCUCAAUUCCCACAUUCAGUUUAUUUUGUAUAUUAUUUAUCACUCUUUUCCAAUUCUUACUCUACACAUUUCUUCCAAAUAAGACCCCUAAAAUUGACACAAUCUUUUUCUGUAAAACCCCAAUUUACUUUUGAAUCUUUCCAAUUUAAAUAUACACAGUCACUCUUAACUAAAUUAGCUUUUGAAUUAGAUGCCAAGCCAAAAUGAUUGCAAUGCCAGAAUUUUAGUCACAGAUCUAUUAUCAUUACAAAAAACGGUUACAUCAUCCAUAUACAAAGAUAACAUGGCUUGUAGCCCCCCACUACCUGGCAUUACAAUGCUAUUUAUACUUGUAUCUUAUGGCACUAGCAAAAAGUUCCAUUCCCAGUACAAAUAACGGGGGAUAACGGGCAACCUUGAUGAACUCCUGAUGCUAUUUUAAAUGAUCUAGACAAAAAACAUUCAUCAAUUUUACUAAAACAACUUUUAUAAAGAAGAUCAAUUAAUGAACAAAAUGGCCCAACAUUUUACUUAAUUAAAAUUGAUUUUAAAAAACCAUGAUCUAACCGAUCAAAGGCUUUUUCUAGAUCUAGACUUAACACACAAAGAAAUAUCUCAGUCCUUUGCAUAUUCCACUACAUCCCUCACCAAAGCCAGAUUGUCAGCAAUAAGACACCCUGGAAUACCACAACUCUGAUCUUAAUGAACUAUUUUUGGGAUAACUUGAUUGCAAUCUACGACACUGCUUUUAGAUAAAAAAAUUUUGAUCUACUCCUAAAAGUGUUAUUGGUCUCGAAUUUCUCAAAUCUUUCACAUCUCCCAUUUUAUACAAUAAUAUCACGCAACCUUCCCUCAUGGUUGAUGUUAAUAUACCUCUCUAACAAAUCCAGACCAGUUACAUCCCAAUAGGGAUGGGAUGGUAUAAAAUUUGCACGGUAUGAUAACUGUUAAAUAAAACACUGUGGUAACCUUAAUAUCACGGUGUACAGUACAUGCAAGUUAUAAAAUAAGGCUUAAAUGAAGAAAGACUAAGAAAGACUAAUGUAAAUCACUUACAUUACUGUAAUUCACAAAAAUAAAAGCAACAAAUCACGUUUCCUUUCAUGGAAUGAUUUAAACAUUUGGUGUUUAGUAUUUUACUAUGCCAAAUAACUUGGUACGUUUCUUUUUUUAAAGACAAUCUAAAAAAAACAAACAAAAAAAACUAAAGUUGUACACUCUUAUUGCUUAAAAUACAAACAUGUACCACAGGUUAUUUAAGAGCAGAGAUUAGUUGUUUAUUGUUUCAACCGGAUAAAUAAAAUAUGUAUAGCAAAAAAAUGUAUUUUAAUAUUAAAAGGUGUUAUUUAUUUAUUAUUAUUUAUUUAUUUCUUAGCAGACGACCUUAUCCAGGGCGACUUACAAUUGUUACAAGAUAUCACAUUAUACAUCCUUUCACAUUAUACAGAUAUCACAUUAUUUUACAUACAAUUACCCAUUUAUACAGUUGGGUUUUUACUGGAGCAAUCUAGGUAAAGUACCUUGCUCAAGGGUACAACAGCAGUGUCCCCCACUGGGGAUUGAACCCUAACCACUACUCCACACUGCUGCCCAUUGGAUUUAUAGCUACAUGUCACGACAUUGCACAAGUAAGCUUCGAUGAUUAUUACACGUGGAGUUUGUAAAAAAAAAAAAAAAAAGAUUUCUUCACUUACCUAAGAAAAUUGGAAUACUGUUUAUAACUUGUUUAAACAAAACUACGUUGAUAAUAAGUAGGCUAUCCUUCUGCAGUCGCAGGUCUGUGCUAAUUUUAUUUGAGACAUUGGUCGUGUUCUUAGAUUUCUGCAGACUACACCUCGUCUUCUUACAUCUAUACAUAAAAGGCGACCAUCAAUAACCCUGUUAGUUCUAAUUAACUCACAAUUCCUCCCCCUUAAUAAAAUAGCCACACCUGAAGGCAGGUUCCCAUUAUCCCCUGACCACACUCAUCCCAUAGCCUUUCAUAUUUCAAAUAUUUCUCUAAAUAAGGUAUCCCACAUUCUUGUAACAAAAUAAUAUCCCCUUUUUAAUCUUUAAAAAAAAUAAUCAAAUACUGAAAUACAUUUGUUUCCCGUAUACGCCUUACAUUAACUGAAGCACAACAAAUUAACGCCAUUUAGUAUUUUUUUCUUCCCUUUUAUAUAAAGCAUCCAUUUGCUCACCCGACAUCUGCAUAACCUCACCCAAUGUCUCAACUUUUCCAGAGUCCGAAAAAGGUUGACCACUUGAGGAAGCUGGACUCAAACUUUCAUCUGAAUCUACUACCUCCUCCUUGAUUUUCCUCUUACGUUUUUCCAUUCCGGCAGAAUCCACCAUUUUGUCCAUCUCAUCCUCAGAUAAAUUAGCCACUGGUUUCUCACUCUGUUCAAUUGACUCAGAGUUAUGAGUCUCUCUUCUCUUGUUGAUUUCUCCCCUAAUGAGUUAAUUGCCUCAACAAGAGAGACCACCUCAACUCUUCAGGCUGCACUACUACUUUCUCAGAAAUGAUUAAUGAACUAUCUAUCUUGUUCAGUUCAUUAGGUUCUCUAAAAAAAAAAACUCUUCCAAAUUUAAGUUCUUUAAAACUGGUGUUUCUGUUACUUUCAGUUUCCUUUUCUUUUUUGUGUAACCCCUUUAGCUUUUACUUUAUUGGCAUAGUCGUAAGGGCAGUCUUUGAACACAUGGCCAGACUCUCCACACAAAUUACAUUUUCGUGGAACGCGGCACUCAUCAGAAUAAUGUCCACUGUUUUGGCAAUUCCGGCACACUUUCUCAGUGCAAUCUGCAGAAAAAUGAUCCUCUGACCCACACUUAUGGCAAACUUUUGGCUGGCCAAAAUAAUAAACAUAACCCUGACAAUUUCCAAUUUGGAUUGUGUUGGGAAUAUGUAUCAAUUUACCAGAUCCUUCAUCAAGUCGCAGUUUAACUUGAAACGUUCCCUCCCAUCUUUAUACCAUCUUCAUCUCUCAUUUCUUGACCAGUUAUUACAUGACUACAAAUACAUUUUUAAAUUCUCUUCUUGUCAAGGGCACCAAACCACAUUUUCAAAAUGUCCUUCAUUCUUUUUCAUAUUGAACCUCUCCACGCACAGUU
Long non-coding RNA from Acipenser ruthenus (sterlet), 6272 nucleotides. RefSeq lists it as uncharacterized. Lineage: Eukaryota; Metazoa; Chordata; Actinopteri; Acipenseriformes; Acipenseridae. The record is from RefSeq and is a predicted model, not a curated record. The transcript is spliced from 8 exons.